UUCUGUGUUCUUUUUAUUGGGGAAAGAACAAGAUGAAAAAGAGAAUUAUUUUAUCAUAUGAUAAAAGAGAUUUGGGAUGAAUUAGUACUACUUUAGUAUGUUCGAGUAUAUUUUUUGUAGUAAGUUUUCCUUGGAUGGGUAAGAUUAUUAUUAUUUUCUUCCCAAGUGCAUUCAAGCAUUGCACCCCUUCAGUUUUCUUUUCAAUGAGAAAAGUUAUUUUGUGCAUAAAGGCUAAGAUGUGCACUUUGAUUAUUUUUCCUAUAUUCUUGGUUUUAUAUAACUAUGAGAAGAAGUAAAUGAACAGAUGUUGUCUCCUAACAAUAUUUGAACAUGAGUU
Molecule: long non-coding RNA, 337 nt
Filed under: Solanum tuberosum (potato)
Lineage: Eukaryota; Viridiplantae; Streptophyta; Magnoliopsida; Solanales; Solanaceae
Description: long non-coding RNA (STUB_LNC011742)
Source: RNAcentral